Molecule: ribosomal RNA, 356 nt
Filed under: uncultured soil bacterium
Lineage: Bacteria
Description: bacterial SSU rRNA
Rfam family: Bacterial small subunit ribosomal RNA
Source: RNAcentral
AGAGUGAACGCUGGCGGUAGGCCUAACACAUGCAAGUCGAACGGCAGCACAGUAGGAGCUUGCUCUUACGGGUGGCGAGUGGCGGACGGGUGAGGAAUACAUCGGAAUCUACCUUUUGGUGGGGGAUAACGUAGGGAAACUUACGCUAAUACCGCAUACGCCCUUCGGGGGAAAGCCGGGGACCAGCAAUGGCCUGGUGCUGAUAGAUGAGCCGAUGUCGGAUUAGCUAGUUGGUGAGGUAAUGGCUCACCAAGGCGACGAUCCGUAGCUGGUCUGAGAGGAUGAUCAGCCACACUGGAACUGAGACACGGUCCAGACUCCGUACGGGAGCAGCAGUGGGGAAUAGUUGGACAAGU